CGUUGUUGAUUGUUGGAAAUGGUAGAUCCUUGAACCUCAGGGGAUGAAGAUCCGGCAAUGGCUCAAGAAUACUAUCGUCUGCAAGAUUCCAUGAAAACACAAUUAACUACUGCAAAAAUAACAGUCACUAUUCAAAGGGAAAGAUGGCGUCGGAUUGUUGAAGAACGGAGAGGAGAGAAUGCAAGUAAAUAGCACUGAAAGGGCGCAAGACAAUGGUGGGAAUCUUAAGAUGAGUGGCCACUGCGUCCACAAAAAACAUGAUGUUGUCGUAGAUGAUGACGGGCUUUUCUUCUUCUUCUUCUUUUUCCAUCAACUGCACCAAAUACUCGUCCAGUGAAGCCCUGCAGUUUUCAUUCAUGGCAUAAAUGGCAGCAAGCAAGUUGUGAAAAGACAUGUCGUAGCCGGCCAAGCCGUCAUAUAAACUGUGAAACUCCAGCUCGGGAUGAGCAGAAGGAGGGGGUGAGUUAUAUUGAGGAUGGGAGACGGUGACGGAGAACCCCCGGGAUUGAAGAAUGCUCCCUAACUGAAGCAUGGGCGUGAUGUGGCCCUGAAAAGGAUAAGGCACUAGCACCACGCGCCGCCGCUUAUCGCCUCCUCCCUGCUUUUUCAUUGCCAUCUCUCUUCUGCUAACCCUUUUCUCUGGCGUAAAUUUUCUUGGAUGAACAAGUUUAUGUGCAGUCCGAAUUGGCAGUAAUGGUUAAUGUAUACAUAGUAGACAUCGUUGGAAAUAUUGAAAGUUUUUCUGUGUUGUUUA
Long non-coding RNA from Ipomoea triloba (trilobed morning glory), 754 nucleotides. RefSeq lists it as uncharacterized. The record is from RefSeq and is a predicted model, not a curated record. NCBI's taxonomy places the organism in Eukaryota, Viridiplantae, Streptophyta, Magnoliopsida, Solanales, Convolvulaceae. The transcript has 2 exons.